AUUGAACGCUGGCGGUAUGCUUAACACAUGCAAGUCGAACGGCAGCACGGUAUGUAGCAAUACAUAUGGGUGGCAAGUGGCGGACGGGUGAGUAACGCGUAGGAAUCUGCCCUCAAGCGGUGGACAACCCGAGGAAACUCGGGCUAAUACCGCAUAAACGCGGAAGAGAAAAGCAGGGGUAAUCUGGAACUUGAGGAGGAGCCUGCGUCUGAUUAGCUAGUUGGGAGGGUAAAGGCCUACCAAGCCGAUGAUCAGUAGCUGGUCUGAAAGGACGACCAGCCACACUGGAACUGAGACACGGUCCAGACUACUACGGGAGGCAGCAGUGGGGAGUAUUGGACAAUGGGGGAAACCCUGGUCCGGCAAUACCGCGUGUGUGAAGAAGGCCUUCGGGUUGUAAAGCACUUUAGUUGGGGAGGAAGGUUAGCAGUUUAAGAGAUGGCUAAUUUGACUGUACCCAAAGAAUAAGCACCGGCUAACUCUGUGCCAGCCGCCGCGGUAA
Molecule: ribosomal RNA, 502 nt
Filed under: uncultured bacterium
Lineage: Bacteria
Description: partial 16S ribosomal RNA
Rfam family: Bacterial small subunit ribosomal RNA
Source: RNAcentral